RNAcentral lists this ribosomal RNA (1274 nucleotides) under uncultured organism. RNAcentral describes it as "SSU rRNA". It matches the Rfam family "Bacterial small subunit ribosomal RNA", at positions 40 to 1307 of the family's 1533-position model. The record is from RNAcentral.
CUACAGGCUUAACACAUGCAAGUCGAGGGGUAUCAGGAAGAAAGCUUGCUUUCUUUGCUGGCGACCGGCGCACGGGUGAGUAACACGUAUCCAACCUGCCCUUUACUCGGGGAUAGCCUUUCGAAAGAAAGAUUAAUACCCGAUAGCAUAAUGAUUCCGCAUGGUUUCAUUAUUAAAGGAUUCCGGUAAAGGAUGGGGAUGCGUUCCAUUAGGUUGUUGGUGAGGUAACGGCUCACCAAGCCUUCGAUGGAUAGGGGUUCUGAGAGGAAGGUCCCCCACAUUGGAACUGAGACACGGUCCAAACUCCUACGGGAGGCAGCAGUGAGGAAUAUUGGUCAAUGGGCGGUAGCCUGAACCAGCCAAGUAGCGUGAAGGAUGAAGGCUCUAUGGGUCGUAAACUUCUUUUAUAUAAGAAUAAAGUGCAGUAUGUAUACUGUUUUGUAUGUAUUAUAUGAAUAAGGAUCGGCUAACUCCGUGCCAGCAGCCGCGGUAAUACGGAGGAUCCGAGCGUUAUCCGGAUUUAUUGGGUUUAAAGGGAGCGUAGGUGGACUGGUAAGUCAGUUGUGAAAGUUUGCGGCUCAACCGUAAAAUUGCAGUUGAUACUGUCAGUCUUGAGUACAGUAGAGGUGGGCGGAAUUCGUGGUGUAGCGGUGAAAUGCUUAGAUAUCACGAAGAACUCCGAUUGCGAAGGCAGCUCACUGGACUGCAACUGACACUGAUGCCUCGAAAGUGUGGGUAUCAAAACAGGAUUAGAUACCCUGGUAGUCCACACAGUAAACGAUGAAUACUCUCUGUUUGCCAUAUACAGAAAGCGGCCAAGCGAAAGCAUUAAGUAUUCCUCCUGGGGAGUACGCCGGCAUCGGUGAAACUCAAAGGAAUUGACGGGGGCCCGCACAAGCGGAGGAACAUGUGGUUUUAUUCGAUGAUACGCGAGGAACCUUACCCGGGCUUAAAUUGCAGUGGAAUGAUGUGGAAACAUGUCAGUGAGCAAUCACCGCUGUGAAGGUGCUGCAUGGUUGUCGUCAGCUCGUGCCGCGAGGUGUCGGCUUAAGUGCCAUAACGAGCGCAACCCUUAUCUUUAGUUACUAACAGGUCAUGCUGAGGACUCUAGAGAGACUGCCGUCGUAAGAUGUGAGGAAGGUGGGGAUGACGUCAAAUCAGCACGGCCCUUACGUCCGGGGCUACACACGUGUUACAAUGGGGGGUACAGAAGGCAGCUAGCGGGUGACCGUAUGCUAAUCCCAAAAGCCUCUCUCAGUUCGGAUCGAAGUCUG